GACGGGUGAGUAAUGUCUGGGAAACUGCCUGAUGGAGGGGGAUAACUACUGGAAACGGUAGCUAAUACCGCAUAACGUCGCAAGACCAAAGAGGGGGACCGUUCGGGCCUCUUGCCAUCAGAUGUGCCCAGAUGGGAUUAGCUAGUAGGUGGGGUAACGGCUCACCUAGGCGACGAUCCCUAGCUGGUCUGAGAGGAUGACCAGCCACACUGGAACUGAGACACGGUCCAGACUCCUACGGGAGGCAGCAUG
This 252-nucleotide ribosomal RNA is filed under the name uncultured bacterium. Its description in RNAcentral is "partial 16S ribosomal RNA". It matches the Rfam family "Bacterial small subunit ribosomal RNA", at positions 100 to 353 of the family's 1533-position model. The record is from RNAcentral.